UGUGCAGGCGGUCGUUUAAGUUUGGUGUGAAAUCUCCCGGCUCAACUGGGAGGGUGCGCCGAAUACUGAAUGACUAGAGUGCGGGAGGGGAGAGUGGAAUUCCUGGUGUAGCGGUGAAAUGCGUAGAUAUCAGGAGGAACACCGGCGGUGUAGACGGCUCUCUGGACCGCGACUGACGCUGAGACACGAAAGCGUGGGUAGCAAACAGGAUUAGAUACCCUGGUAGUCCACGCCCUAAACGAUGCAUACUUGGUGUGGGCAGUUCAUUCUGUCCGUGCCGGAGCUAACGCGUUAAAUAUGCCGCCUGGGGAGUACAGUCGCAAGGCUGAA
This 330-nucleotide ribosomal RNA is filed under the name uncultured bacterium. RNAcentral's name for it is "bacterial SSU rRNA". It matches the Rfam family "Bacterial small subunit ribosomal RNA", at positions 568 to 898 of the family's 1533-position model. The record is from RNAcentral.